Molecule: ribosomal RNA, 253 nt
Filed under: uncultured bacterium
Lineage: Bacteria
Description: partial 16S ribosomal RNA
Rfam family: Bacterial small subunit ribosomal RNA
Source: RNAcentral
UACGUAGGGUGCAAGCGUUAAUCGGAAUUACUGGGCGUAAAGCGUGCGCAGGCGGUUAUGCGAGACAGAUGUGAAAUCCCCGGGCUCAACCUGGGAACUGCAUUUGUGACUGCAUAGCUAGAGUGCGGCAGAGGGAGAUGGAAUUCCGCGUGUAGCAGUGAAAUGCGUAGAUAUGCGGAGGAACACCGAUGGCGAAGGCAAUCUCCUGGGCCUGCACUGACGCUCAUGCACGAAAGCGUGGGGAGCAAACAGG